AGGGAUAUAACUCAGAGGUAGAGUACCUGCCUAUCAUGUAUGAGGCCCUAGAUUCUAUCCCUA
RNAcentral lists this transfer RNA (63 nucleotides) under Neotoma lepida (desert woodrat). It matches the Rfam family "tRNA". Rfam says of the family: Transfer RNA (tRNA) molecules are approximately 80 nucleotides in length. Their secondary structure includes four short double-helical elements and three loops (D, anti-codon, and T loops). Lineage: Eukaryota; Metazoa; Chordata; Mammalia; Rodentia; Cricetidae. The record is from Rfam by way of RNAcentral.